RNAcentral lists this ribosomal RNA (495 nucleotides) under uncultured bacterium. RNAcentral describes it as "partial 16S ribosomal RNA". It matches the Rfam family "Bacterial small subunit ribosomal RNA", at positions 28 to 507 of the family's 1533-position model. The record is from RNAcentral.
GACGAACGCUGGCGGCGUGCCUAAUACAUGCAAGUAGAACGCUGAAGGAGGAGCUUGCUUCUCUGGAUGAGUUGCGAACGGGUGAGUAACGCGUAGGUAACCUGCCUGGUAGCGGGGGAUAACUAUUGGAAACGAUAGCUAAUACCGCAUAAUUGUAGAUGUUGCAUGACAUUUGCUUAAAAGGUGCAAUUGCAUCACUACCAGAUGGACCUGCGUUGUAUUAGCUAGUUGGUGGGGUAACGGCUCACCAAGGCGACGAUACAUAGCCGACCUGAGAGGGGGAUCGGCCACACUGGGACUGAGACACGGCCCAGACUCCUACGGGAGGCAGCAGUAGGGAAUCUUCGGCAAUGGACGGAAGUCUGACCGAGCAACGCCGCGUGAGUGAAGAAGGUUUUCGGAUCGUAAAGCUCUGUUGUAAGAGAAGAACGAGUGUGAGAGUGGAAAGUUCACACUGUGACGGUAGCUUACCAGAAAGGGACGGCUAACUACGUG